CUUGCUUCUCUUGAGAGCGGCGGACGGGUGAGUACAUGCCUAGGAAUCUGCCUGGUAGUGGGGGAUAACGUCCGGAAACGGACGCUAAUACCGCAUACGUCCUACGGGAGAAAGCAGGGGACCUUCGGGCCUUGCGCUAUCAGAUGAGCCUAGGUCGGAUUAGCUAGUUGGUGGGGUAAUGGCUCACCAAGGCGACGAUCCGUAACUGGUCUGAGAGGAUGAUCAGUCACACUGGAACUGAGACACGGUCCAGACUCCUACGGGAGGCAGCAGUGGGGAAUAUUGGACAAUGGGCGAAAGCCUGAUCCAGCCAUGCCGCGUGUGUGAAGAAGGUCUUCGGAUUGUAAAGCACUUUAAGUUGGGAGGAAGGGCAGUAAAUUAAUACUUUGCUGUUUUGACGUUACCGACAGAAUAAGCACCGGCUAACUCUGUGCCAGCAGCCGCGGUAAUACAGAGGGUGCAAGCGUUAAUCGGAAUUACUGGGCGUAAAGCGCGCGUAGGUGGUUCGUUAAGUUGGAUGUGAAAUCCCCGGGCUCAACCUGGGAACUGCAUUCAAAACUGACGAGCUAGAGUAUGGUAGAGGGUGGUGGAAUUUCCUGUGUAGCGGUGAAAUGCGUAGAUAUAGGAAGGAACACC
This 636-nucleotide ribosomal RNA is filed under the name uncultured bacterium. RNAcentral describes it as "bacterial SSU rRNA". It matches the Rfam family "Bacterial small subunit ribosomal RNA", at positions 79 to 710 of the family's 1533-position model. The record is from RNAcentral.